AUUAGGUUUAGUUGUCUGCUACCCUGAGAUUAGUAAGGAUUAUCAGAGUUGCAGCCGUAAGCACACCGUCAAGCUCACCGUAACGUCGUCGGCUCCAAUUAAUACAUUGUGGAGAGGCUUCGAGUUCUCCGCCGAGGAGGACUCUCACGCGCUGCUCCUCGCAACCAAUCUCGUGGAGAGGAAUGACGCAAAAGAUUAGCCUCAUGCUAAAUGGAGACUUUCUUCCGCCAUUGUUAAG
Long non-coding RNA from Brassica napus (rape), 238 nucleotides. RefSeq lists it as uncharacterized. The transcript is spliced from 3 exons. The record is from RefSeq and is a predicted model, not a curated record. Lineage: Eukaryota; Viridiplantae; Streptophyta; Magnoliopsida; Brassicales; Brassicaceae.